GACGAACGCUGGCGGCGUGCCUAACACAUGCAAGUCGAGCGGUCCAGCACUCAAGCUUGCUUGGGUGCUGGGUAGCGGCGAACGGGUGAGUAACGCGUGGGUGACCUGCCCGGGAGACUGGGAUAACAGUUCGAAAGGGCUGCUAAUACCGGAUGAUCCCCAGCACUCAACCGAAGGAAUUAGGCUUGGUUUUAGAGGAAGCUUUCUUGUAGGUUCAAUGAGGUUUUUUCUAUGGUACAGCCUGGUUUUUUGGGUUGAGUGCUGGGGCAAAGCGUUUAGCGCUCCUGGAUGGGCCCGCGUCCCAUUAGCUAGUUGGUGGGGUAAUGGCCUACCAAGGCGGCGAUGGGUAGCCGGUCUGAGAGGAUGGUCGGCCACACUGGGACUGAGACACGGCCCAGACUCCUACGGGAGGCAGCAGUGGGGAAUUUUGCGCAAUGGGGGGAACCCUGACGCAGCGACGCCGCGUGGGUGAUGAAGGCCUUCGGGUUGUAAAGCCCUGUUGGGGGGGAAGAUAAUGACGGUACCCCCUGAGAAGCCC
This 538-nucleotide ribosomal RNA is filed under the name uncultured bacterium. RNAcentral's name for it is "bacterial SSU rRNA". It matches the Rfam family "Bacterial small subunit ribosomal RNA", at positions 28 to 493 of the family's 1533-position model. The record is from RNAcentral.